RNAcentral lists this ribosomal RNA (492 nucleotides) under uncultured bacterium. Its description in RNAcentral is "partial 16S ribosomal RNA". It matches the Rfam family "Bacterial small subunit ribosomal RNA", at positions 29 to 507 of the family's 1533-position model. The record is from RNAcentral.
AGUGAACGCUGGCGGUAGGCCUAACACAUGCAAGUCGAACGGCAGCACAGUAAGAGCUUGCUCUUACGGGUGGCGAGUGGCGGACGGGUGAGGAAUACAUCGGAAUCUACUUUUUCGUGGGGGAUAACGUAAGGAAACUUACGCUAAUACCGCAUACGACCUACGGGUGAAAGCAGGGGAUCUUCGGACCUUGCGCGAUUGAAUGAGCCGAUGUCGGAUUAGCUAGUUGGCGGGGUAAAGGCCCACCAAGGCGACGAUCCGUAGCUGGUCUGAGAGGAUGAUCAGCCACACUGGAACUGAGACACGGUCCAGACUCCUACGGGAGGCAGCAGUGGGGAAUAUUGGACAAUGGGCGCAAGCCUGAUCCAGCCAUACCGCGUGGGUGAAGAAGGCCUUCGGGUUGUAAAGCCCUUUUGUUGGGAAAGAAAAGCAGCAGGUUAAUACCCCGCUGUUCUGACGGUACCCAAAGAAUAAGCACCGGCUAGCUUCGUG